UACUGGGAUUAAAGGCGUGUGCCACCAUACCUGGCUAACAAUGUUGUUUCUUGACUAUACCUGUCUGCUAGACACCUGUAGCAGCCAGGGACUCUUGAUCUCAUACAU
This 108-nucleotide small nucleolar RNA is filed under the name Nannospalax galili (Upper Galilee mountains blind mole rat). RNAcentral's name for it is "Small nucleolar RNA SNORA63 (ENSNGAG00000007639.1)". The record is from RNAcentral. Lineage: Eukaryota; Metazoa; Chordata; Mammalia; Rodentia; Spalacidae.